Monodelphis domestica (gray short-tailed opossum) is the source of this 2610-nucleotide long non-coding RNA. RefSeq lists it as uncharacterized. The record is from RefSeq and is a predicted model, not a curated record. NCBI's taxonomy places the organism in Eukaryota, Metazoa, Chordata, Mammalia, Didelphimorphia, Didelphidae.
GGUAUCUUUACUUGACAACUGAGCAAACUGACGCAAACAGAGGGUUAGUGACUUGCCCAGGGUCACAAUAAAAACCCGAGGCAGAAUUUAAACUCAGCUCUUCCUGACUCCAGGCACAGCCACUGUCAAUGCCAGUUUGGCUCUUCUUACAUUCCCUAGACUUGCCCCACACCCAGAAAAUAUGUGACUUUUCCCAGGAAAAUAAGAGAUGGGUCAGCUUCACAUUGAUCACCAUUUUGUCUCUCUAUUCAUCUUCCCCAAAGUUUGUCCACUCUGUUCCCUGGAAGUGCCUCUCCAUUCAAGUGAGUGAUUCUUGAUCUUCAUCUCUUUAGUUGUGUGACUUUUGACAAGUGAUUUAGCUUCUCUAGCCUUUAGUUUCUCUAUCUGUGGAAAGAUAGGAUGUAUCUGAAUGAUCACAAAAGGUCUUUUUCAGUUCUAAAGAAAAGAAAUCAAGGAGUAUAACAGAAAGAGAUGAUAGGCUCAUGGCAUUUAGAUCUGGAAGGGACUUCUAAACUGAUCUAUUCAUUUUACAUAUGGGGAAACAGAGGCAAAUGGAGUUUGUUUAAGUAACCUGUCCAAUGUCACAAAGUAAGUAGUAGAAGCAGAAGAAUAAGAUGCCUAUGAAGAAAUUGCUCUUUUGCAAAUCUAUUAUUGACUAUGUUUAAAUUAAUGUUUGUUGUAUAUAGGUGAUAGAGUGCCAUCUGUUCAGUGUGUAAUGAGAAAGAGAUGCAUAGCCCUUUAGGGAAGACAGUGGGUUAGAAUCCGUCUCCAUCAGCUAUCAGAAACAGGUUAUUCUCGCCGGGGCUGUUGAGGGAGAAGACAGCUGCACAAAGUUGGGGAGAAAAACAAAGCAAGGUCAGACAGAGGAUAGCAAUACUGAACUGGAGAUUGAUUCCAAGGGAAAGGAAAUAUAUUUAGCCUGGUUAAGUUAAUGAAACCUUAAUUAGGUUGAAGGGAAGCCUGUGUAUCUGGGAAUAAAUGACACUGCUGUCAAAAUCCUGUCAGAAGAUGAACAAAAGGGAGCAAAGAUUUUUUUGUCUUCCUCAAGUGGUCAAAAAAGAAUGCUGCUCCCACUGGAUCAGAGAAAGCCAGAAAGAAUAACAGACAGGAGACUAUAUUUAAAAGAUGUCAUCAGUACAACUGUAACAAGGAAAGGACAAAGGAGUUAACAGAGAGUCAUUGUUAUUGCUAUUUUGUAUAUGAGGUGGUAUUUUUUUCUUCAGUUUAUUAAUUAGCAGCACAGAUGCUAAGCUGUUUAUUAUCUUAUUAUUCAUUUACUAGCUUCUGCCAAACAUUUUGAAGUUUCAAAUUAAACAAUUUAACUUUGAUGCAUGUUUUCUAUAAUCUGUUUUUUCUCUAGAAUCUUUUCAAUGCUUGAUGGUAGCAUGGAGAUUGACUUCAAGUCAAAACAAAAUUCUAGAAGGUAAAAUAUAAAGGAUGAUCAGUGAACUCAAAAGGGAAAUAGUGAUCAAGAAGAGUAAAUAUGGCUUCAUCAAGAAUAAGUCAUGAAAAAUUAAUCUUAUUCCAGAUGAAAAGAAUUCUGUAGCUAUAAUUUACCUGGAAUUUUAGCAAAGUAUUGGACACCAAUGUUAUUCUUGGGAUAGGAAAGAGAUAUGGAGUAGGUACAAUGGUCAAUCUACAAGCUUUUAUUAAGCACCAGCUAUGUUCCAGGCACUAAGUUAAGCACAAGGGAGCCAAAACAAAACAAAAAAACAUUCUCUGUUUUGGAGAAACUCAAAGUUCAAUGUGGAAGACAAUAUGCAAACAACCAUGUACCAACAAGAUAUCUACAGGAUCCACUGAGGAGAGUCUCAGAGGUAAGGCUCUAAUAUUAGAGACUCGAAUAGUCUUCUUGAAGAAGUUAAAAAUUGAAGAAAGCUAGAGUAACAAGAUUGUGGAGAUGAAGAAGAAGAUAAUUCAAGCCAUGGGGAACACCCACUGAAAAUUCAUAAAGAUGAGAGAUAGAGGAUUAUGGGUAAGGAACAGCAAGGAGAUCAUUGUAGCUGAAACACAGGGUAUAUGGAGGACACUAAGGUGUAAGAACACUGGAAUUGAGGAAGGCAGAUUAUGAUUGGUUUUGAAAGUCAAACAGAGGAUUUUAUACUUGAUCCUGGAGAUAUUAGGGAGCCAUCAGAGAUUGUUGAAUAGUGGGGGUUCAUGGUUACCAAAUACCCAGCCCUUAUCAUUCUCCUGCCUCGGAACUGACACUUGGUAUUGAUUCUAGAACAGAAGGUAAGGGUUUGUGGGUUUGUUUCUUUUCUAAUAGUGAUGAAGUUCUAUACUAAGGUAGUGGUAGCUGUGUCAGUGGAGAAAAGCAGGAAGAGAUGAGAAAUGUUAUGAAGGUCUUUUUUACCAAGGAAGAAUACUGGAAGGCUGUAGAGAAAAGCAUUAUCACACAAAUGCAUGGACACGGGUUUAGAUGAUUACCUGUGCAGCAAGAAGUUCAAAGAGAAAUGGCUUGAUUAAUCCUGAAGAAGAGUGUACUGAAUGAAGUAGAAUGAAAAAGUCUUUAAAUGUAAAAUGUUGUCAAAUAAUAAGUUCUAUGUGCAAUGAAACUAAGACGAGAGAUGGAACAAGGAUAAAAUAAAAAAAUAUGGAGAGAAGAAAAAA